RNAcentral lists this ribosomal RNA (118 nucleotides) under Aphonopelma chalcodes. It matches the Rfam family "Eukaryotic small subunit ribosomal RNA", at positions 247 to 362 of the family's 1831-position model. Lineage: Eukaryota; Metazoa; Arthropoda; Arachnida; Araneae; Theraphosidae. The record is from RNAcentral.
UGACUCUGUAUAACUUUGGNCUGAUCGCACGGGCUUGUCCCGGCGACGCAUCUUUCAAGUGUNNNCCUUAUCAACUGUCGAUGGUAGGUUAUGCGCCUANCAUGGUCGUAACGGGUAA